AAUAAUAAUAAUAAUAAUAAUAAUAAUAAUAAUAAUAAUAAUAAUAAUACAUAAAACGUUUGCAGAUUGUGAUGAGUAGCAUAAUGGUGAAUUGUUUUCGAAAAGGAAACCUAUGUAAUGUCGGUCGGAUCAAAUAGGUCGGCUAUUAAUACUACAACCUUCUAAUCUUGGCUUCUCACAUAUAUCUACUGGUUAGCAAGCAAUUAUCUUUUUAUUUCAUACGUUUAUCAUCAGCAAAUAAACAAAACUGUUUGGCAGAGAAAUAAGGAGGGAAAAAAUAGAGGGUGUAUCGAAAUCACAAAAUUCCGUUCAUCGAGCCAAUGAAACACGAGUUGCAAAAGUAAAGUAAAAACUUACGUACCAAUCUGAAAGGGUCAAAAUGGAGAUUUACGAUCCGUCGAAAUUCAUCGUCUCCAAUCGCCAGAAAACAAAAUCAGCGCCGGUGUGUUUUCAGUUCGAUUGGAGGUGGGGAGUGGAAGUUCAGUGGUGGUGUGGAGGAGAUGAGAUGGUGGUGGUGGUGUGGUUGUCGCUUAACACACCCUGGCGCCACAACAUUUCUGAAAUCGAUCACAAGGAGAACAAUCUAAUCUACACCUAUGUGGGUACAAGAAGCCAAAGAAAGUGCAUGAUUCCGAUUUAGAUUUACCUGGUCUCAGCUUGACUGAAAUGUUGAAAAUUUGCUCGGCUAAGUUGCAAAAUUCAUGGUUACGCACGACAAUGCAAAUGCUAUUUUGAAUUACUGUACCAUUUGUUAAAAGUUGCAGAAUGGUUUGUAGAAUUUACUGUAUCAAUUUGCAAAGUGGUGGUGGCGAUUGAACUCUUCACUUCGUCAUUGCUCGUUUCACCAUUCGUGCUUUGUCUUGAAGAGUUGCAGGUGAUGCUCGCUCUUGGCUUAACUCCGUUGAAGAUAUCUUAUGUGGCAUGCUAGGUAGUUAAGGACAUACUCUAGGAAUAGAAAAGCAUGUACAGGAAAUUCAUCUAAAAAGUAUUGGAACCCAAUUAUGAUUGGCCGGUGUAUUAAUUAUUAAAAAUUACCAAUCUUCUCUUGGGGUUUAGCAUUUGCAAUGUGUGCUGGUGUUUUAGUUUUGGGUAAAUUACACUUUUCGUCCUUUAUGUUGUAUCGGAUUGUAGUGGAUAACUUUUAACUUCAAUAAUUACAGCCACAAUCAUUUAUUUGGAUAACUCAUUACGUAUUUCAUCUUUUAGCACUAACCAGGUUAAAUAUUAGAGCUAAGUCUAGUCACAUGAGGGUGUGACACUGGUGAUGUAUCAUGUGGCUGUGAUGAUGUAUUAUGUGGCAGUCUUUGUUCGUCUCACUCCGAUGUUUCCGCCAUCGGUUGGGGUGUGACAAUGGUGAUGUAUUAUGUGGCAGUGAUGUCGGGCUUAUGCAACGGUUGUAUUAUUUGAGAGAGAGAGAGUGUGUGUGUGUGUGUGUGUGUUUAAUGAGGAUGAAAUAAGGUACAGCAAUUAUAUA
Molecule: long non-coding RNA, 1474 nt
Organism: Helianthus annuus (common sunflower)
Lineage: Eukaryota; Viridiplantae; Streptophyta; Magnoliopsida; Asterales; Asteraceae
Exons: 4
Source: RefSeq, a predicted model, not a curated record